This 253-nucleotide ribosomal RNA is filed under the name uncultured bacterium. RNAcentral describes it as "partial 16S ribosomal RNA". It matches the Rfam family "Bacterial small subunit ribosomal RNA", at positions 524 to 776 of the family's 1533-position model. The record is from RNAcentral.
UACGAGAGGCCCAAACGUUAUUCGGAAUUACUGGGCUUAAAGAGUCCGUAGGCGGCGCAGAAAGUAGGGUGUGAAAGCCCUCGGCUCAACCGAGGAAUUGCGCUCUAAACUACUGUGCUUGAGGAACCUAGAGGUGAGCGGAACUGAUGGUGGAGCGGUGAAAUGCGUUGAUAUCAUCAGGAACACCGGAGGCGAAGGCGGCUCACUGGGGGUUAUCUGACGCUGAGGGACGAAAGCCAGGGGAGCGAACGGG